This 253-nucleotide ribosomal RNA is filed under the name uncultured bacterium. RNAcentral describes it as "partial 16S ribosomal RNA". It matches the Rfam family "Bacterial small subunit ribosomal RNA", at positions 524 to 776 of the family's 1533-position model. The record is from RNAcentral.
UACGGGGGGGGCAAGCGUUGUUCGGAAUUACUGGGCGUAAAGGGCUCGUAGGCGGCCAACUAAGUCAGACGUGAAAUCCCUCGGCUUAACCGGGGAACUGCGUCUGAUACUGGAUGGCUUGAGAUUGGGAGAGGGAUGCGGAAUUCCAGGUGUAGCGGUGAAAUGCGUAGAUAUCAGGAAGAACACCAAUGGCGAAGGCAGCUCUCUGGGACGGUACUGACGCUGAGACGCGAAAGCGUGGGGAGCGAACAGG